GGAGUUUGGUCCGUGUCUCAGUACCAAUGUGGGGGACCUUCCUCUCAGAACCCCUACUGAUCGUCGGCUAGGUGGGCCGUUACCCCGCCUACUACCUAAUCAGACGCAUCCCCAUCCCAUAGCGAUGAAUCUUUGCUCCAACUUAGAUGCCUGCAUUGGAGAACAUAGGGAAUUAAUCCGACUUUCGCCGGGCUGUGCCCUACUACGGGGAAGGUUGGAUACGCGUUACUCACCCGUGCGCCGGUCGCCAUCAAAGUUUGCAAGCAAACUUCAUGCUGCCCCUCGACUUGCAUGUGUUAAGCCUGUAGCUAGCGUUCAUCCUGAGCCAUGAUCAAACUACU
Molecule: ribosomal RNA, 341 nt
Filed under: uncultured Prevotella sp.
Lineage: Bacteria; Pseudomonadati; Bacteroidota; Bacteroidia; Bacteroidales; Prevotellaceae
Description: partial 16S ribosomal RNA
Source: RNAcentral